GAUGAACGCUGGCGGCGUGCCUAAUACAUGCAAGUCGAGCGAACAGAUGAGGAGCUUGCUCCUCUGACGUUAGCGGCGGACGGGUGAGUAACACGUGGAUAACCUACCUAUAAGACUGGGAUAACUUCGGGAAACCGGAGCUGAUACCGGAUAAUAUAUUGAACCGCAUGGUUCAAUAGUGAAAGACGGUUUUGCUGUCACUUAUAGAUGGAUCCGCGCCGCAUUAGCUAGUUGGUAAGGUAACGGCUUACCAAGGCGACGAUGCGUAGCCGACCUGAGAGGGUGAUCGGCCACACUGGAACUGAGACACGGUCCAGACUCCUACGGGAGGCAGCAGUAGGGAAUCUUCCGCAAUGGGCGAAAGCCUGACGGAGCAACGCCGCGUGAGUGAUGAAGGUCUUCGGAUCGUAAAACUCUGUUAUUAGGGAAGAACAAAUGUGUAAGUAACUAUGCACGUCUUGACGGUACCUAAUCAGAAAGCCACGGCUAACUACGUG
This 497-nucleotide ribosomal RNA is filed under the name uncultured bacterium. RNAcentral's name for it is "partial 16S ribosomal RNA". It matches the Rfam family "Bacterial small subunit ribosomal RNA", at positions 28 to 507 of the family's 1533-position model. The record is from RNAcentral.